RNAcentral lists this ribosomal RNA (440 nucleotides) under uncultured bacterium. Its description in RNAcentral is "partial 16S ribosomal RNA". It matches the Rfam family "Bacterial small subunit ribosomal RNA", at positions 338 to 795 of the family's 1533-position model. The record is from RNAcentral.
CCUACGGGAGGCAGCAGUGGGGAAUAUUGCACAAUGGGGGAAACCCUGAUGCAGCGACGCCGCGUGAGCGAAGAAGUAUUUCGGUAUGUAAAGCUCUAUCCGCAGGGACGAAAAUGACGGUACCUGAGUAAGAAGCUCCGGCUAAAUACGUGCCAGCAGCCGCGGUACUACGUAUGGAGCAAGCGUUAUCCGGAUUUACUGGGCGUAAGGGGAGCGUAGGCGGCCUGACAAGUCUGAUGUGAAAUACCGGGGUUCAACCCCGGGGCUGCAUUGGAAACUGGCAGGCUGGAGUGCCGGUGCGGCAGGAGGAAUGCGUAGUGUAGCGGUGAAAUGCGUAGAUAUUAGGCGGAACACCAGUUGCGAAGGCGGCCUGCUGGACGGUGACUGACGCUGAGGCUCGAAAGCGUGGGGAGCAAACAGGAUUAGAUACCCGGGUAGUC